CCCUUAGAUGUCCUGGGCCGCACGCGCGUUACACUGAUGCACUCAACGAGCAUAUAACCUUGGCCGAGAGGCCUGGGUAAUCUUGUUAACAUGCAUCGUGAUAGGGAUAGAUUAUUGCAAUUUUUAAUCUUGAACGAGGAAUUCCUAGUAAUCGCGGUUCAUCAAACCGCAAUGAUUACGUCCCUGCCCUUUGUACACACCGCCCGUCGCACCUACCGAUUGAAUGGUCCGGUGAGGACUCGGGAUUGUGGUUUGGCUCCUUCAUUGGGGCCUGACCGCGAGAACUUGUCCGAACCUUAUCAUUUAGAGGAAGGUGAAGUCGUANCA
This 327-nucleotide ribosomal RNA is filed under the name uncultured eukaryote. Its description in RNAcentral is "partial 18S ribosomal RNA". It matches the Rfam family "Eukaryotic small subunit ribosomal RNA", at positions 1470 to 1796 of the family's 1831-position model. The record is from RNAcentral.